UACUUAUCAAGAGUGACGGAGGGAUCAGGCCCUGUGAUGUCCGGCAACCGCCCUUAGGGAACGGUGCCAAUUCCUGCAGAAUGAUUGCAUUCUGAAAGAUAAGCC
This is a non-coding RNA of Bacillus sp. FJAT-22058, 105 nucleotides long. Lineage: Bacteria; Bacillati; Bacillota; Bacilli; Caryophanales; Bacillaceae. The record is from Rfam.